This 1038-nucleotide ribosomal RNA is filed under the name Capnocytophaga canis. RNAcentral describes it as "bacterial SSU rRNA". It matches the Rfam family "Bacterial small subunit ribosomal RNA", at positions 12 to 1043 of the family's 1533-position model. The record is from RNAcentral. Lineage: Bacteria; Pseudomonadati; Bacteroidota; Flavobacteriia; Flavobacteriales; Flavobacteriaceae.
UUUUAUCCUGGCUCAGGGAUGAACGCUAGCGGCAGGCCUAUCACAUGCAAGUCGAGGGGUANGGAGAGCUUGCNUCUCCCUAGACCGGCGCACGGGUGCGUAACACGUGUACAAUCUACCUUUUGCUAAGGGAUAGCCCGAAGAAAUUUGGAUUAAUACCUUAUAGUAUUAUUUUAUGGCAUCAUUAAAUAAUUAAAGCUACGGUGGUAAAAGAUGAGUACGCGUCCCAUUAGCUAGUUGGUGUGGUAACGGCAUACCAAGGCUACGAUGGGUAGGGGUCCUGAGAGGGAGGUCCCCCACACUGGUACUGAGACACGGACCAGACUCCUACGGGAGGCCAGCAGUGAGGGAAUAUUGGACAAUGGUCGGAAGACUGAUCCAGCCAUGCCGCGUGCAGGAUGACGGGCCUUAUGGGUUGUAAACUGCUUUUAUACAGGAAGAAUAAGGUCUACGAGUAGAUUGAUGACGGUACUGUAUGAAUAAGCAUCGGCUAACUCCGUGCCAGCAGCCGCGGUAAUACGGAGGGAUGCGAGCGUUAUCCGGAAUCAUUGGGUUUAAAGGGUCCGUAGGCGGGCUUAUAAGUCAGAGGUGAAAGCACUGAGCUCAACUGAGUAACUGCCGUUCUGAAACUGUAGGUCUUGAAUGUUUUGUGAAGUAGCUGGAAUGUGUAGUGUANCGGUGAAAUGCAUAGAUAUUACACAGAACACCGAUUGCGAAGGCAUGUUACUAACAAAUUAUUGACGCUGAUGGACGAAAGCGUGGGGAGCGAACAGGGAUAGAUACCCUGGGNAGUCCACGCUGUAANCGAUGGGAUACUAGCCUGUUUGGAAGUAAUAUUGAGUGGCUAAGCGAAAGUGAUAAGUAUCCCACCUGGGGAGUACGCACGCAAGUGUGAAACUCAAAGGAAUUGACGGGGGCCCGCACAAGCGGUGGAGCAUGUGGUUUAAUUCGAUGAUACGCGAGGAACCUUACCAAGGUUUAAAUGGGAAACGACGUAUCUAGAGAUAGAUAUUUCUUCGGACGUUUUUCAAGGUGCGG